ACGAACGCUGGCGGCGUGCUUAACACAUGCAAGUCGAACGGAUAGGCCCUGCUUUUGUGGGGUGCUCGAGUGGCGAACGGGUGAGUAACACGUGAGUAACCUGCCCUUGACUUUGGGAUAACUUCAGGAAACUGGGGCUAAUACCGGAUAGGAGCUCCUGCUGCAUGGUGGGGGUUGGAAAGUUUCGGCGGUUGGGGAUGGACUCGCGGCUUAUCAGCUUGUUGGUGGGGUAGUGGCUUACCAAGGCUUUGACGGGUAGCCGGCCUGAGAGGGUGACCGGCCACAUUGGGACUGAGAUACGGCCCAGACUCCUACGGGAGGCAGCAGUGGGGAAUAUUGCACAAUGGGCGGAAGCCUGAUGCAGCAACGCCGCGUGCGGGAUGACGGCCUUCGGGUUGUAAACCGCUUUCGCCUGUGACGAAGCGUGAGUGACGGUAAUGGGUAAAGAAGCACCGGCUAACUACGUG
This 467-nucleotide ribosomal RNA is filed under the name uncultured bacterium. RNAcentral's name for it is "partial 16S ribosomal RNA". It matches the Rfam family "Bacterial small subunit ribosomal RNA", at positions 29 to 507 of the family's 1533-position model. The record is from RNAcentral.